Long non-coding RNA from Monodelphis domestica (gray short-tailed opossum), 1167 nucleotides. The record is from Ensembl. NCBI's taxonomy places the organism in Eukaryota, Metazoa, Chordata, Mammalia, Didelphimorphia, Didelphidae.
ACCAACAGACCAGACAGGAACCAGAAAUGAAGUAACAAAUUAUUUAAUUGGGAUAAGGCAGGAACGGAACAAAUGUAAAAUUAAGCAGCUGAAUCAUUUGGAGACCCGUCCUCCCUCCCUCUCUCCAUAAAGGGUUGCCAUCUCCAUUGGACUCUAGAAUUGGUUUGGAAAAUGGGAACUCCAAAGGGAGAAGAGUUUUGUCUUUAGUGCUGCCCAUUUUACAUUGCAGUUUGAAAACCUCUUCACAGCCUUAUCCUUGGUUGCAACCCCAGCAUUUUGCUGAGUCUUGGCUUUGCCCUGCAUUUGCUCUUGCCAAGACUGAGAAGGUCUCCUUGUGACUACUCUGUGGCCACCACUCUCUUCUUCCUGCUGGGGAAGUGUGAUUGUUCUUUCAGCGUGAAACCACCACAGCCACAAGCUUUGCUCUAGUCAGCAUGUCUUCAGCUCUGUUGAUAAAUAGCAGUCCUAUCCAUAGUCUCUGACCAGCUGGCACCCGAAAGGGGCCACUUGGAGCAGCAAGGACUUACUUAUUCAUUAGUCCCGAGGAAGGUUUGCAGUCCUUAACUCCAGGAGACCUAGCGCGAAAGAACUCCCCGGAGCACUUCCCAGCCUUAAUUAAGGCUUAGGCAGUGGGGUGUCUUUCUGAGGGCGAGGAUAAACACUCACAGCUCUAGCUCGGUCCUCUUGUCCGUCCAGUUUCGAUCCUAUCCCCCGAUGUGAGUUCAAUGGACGGAUCAGUGCUCAGGUUGAAAUUACAAGGUGCUGGAAAUGACUACACGAGGGACACUUACACGGCUAGAGAGUUCUUUGAAGGCUACAUAGGAUCAGGUAGAAACCAGGAGCUGUGGGAUUUAUUUCCAGGAGUCUCGAUGGAGUGCAGUUCCUGUCCUUCGGCAUGCUCAGUCCCGAAUCUCAGCUUCCUGCACUCUGAGGUAAAGUUGAAAAAGAGGAAAAUGACAAAUGCUGGAAGAACUACAGGAAAACAGACACAUUAAUACACAAUUGAGGAACCCAUGAACUGGUCCUUUCCAGCUCUAGAUGUAUGAACUAUGAAGCAAGACUUAUGGAAUGAUUUACUCCUUCUUUGUUUCGCAGAUUGACAUAAAAUGUGAGUAUAAGUAUGUGGUACUUCCCCAGGAAGUCACUAGGAAUAACUAGAUAAUGAAU